CGUACACUCCUACGGGAGGCAGCAGUGGGGAAUAUUGGACAAUGGGCGCAAGCCUGAUCCAGCCAUGCCGCGUGAGUGAUGAAGGCCCUAGGGUUGUAAAGCUCUUUCACCGGUGAAGAUAAUGACGGUAACCGGAGAAGAAGCCCCGGCUAACUUCGUGCCAGCAGCCGCGGUAAUACGAAGGGGGCUAGCGUUGUUCGGAUUUACUGGGCGUAAAGCGCACGUAGGCGGACUAUUAAGUCAGGGGUGAAAUCCCGGGGCUCAACCCCGGAACUGCCUUUGAUACUGGUAGUCUUGAGUUCGAGAGAGGUGAGUGGAAUUCCGAGUGCAGAGGUGAAAUUCGUAGAUAUUCGGAGGAACACCAGUGGCGAAGGCGGCUCACUGGCUCGAUACUGACGCUGAGGUGCGAAAGCGUGGGGAGCAAACAGGAUUAGAAACCCGGGUAGUCCCAUGAU
This 455-nucleotide ribosomal RNA is filed under the name uncultured organism. Its description in RNAcentral is "partial 16S ribosomal RNA". It matches the Rfam family "Bacterial small subunit ribosomal RNA", at positions 330 to 801 of the family's 1533-position model. The record is from RNAcentral.